RNAcentral lists this transfer-messenger RNA (365 nucleotides) under Rhodothermales. RNAcentral's name for it is "VXPQ01 sp009839485 Standard tmRNA". It matches the Rfam family "transfer-messenger RNA". From Rfam's summary of the family: Bacterial tmRNA, also known as 10Sa RNA or SsrA, is named for its dual tRNA and mRNA-like properties. The record is from RNAcentral. Lineage: Bacteria; Pseudomonadati; Rhodothermota; Rhodothermia. RNAcentral also lists the same sequence under 2 other names.
GGGGAUGACAUGGUUUCGACGGGUGGUAUUCGCGCUGCAAGUUGCGUGUCGAGCUCCUCAGUCCAGCUCGUUAAUAUGACUGGGAACUGGUAAAUGCGAACGAUUACUCGUACGCGAUGGCGGCGUAAGCCCCAUCUGUCCAAUGCAUUGCUCGUUCAUCGGCAUGCAUUAGGGCACCGACUCAGAUGAACCCGCUGCGGUCCGUACCGGCUGAACAGGCCGCAGUCAAAACAAUCAGCCUUUGCUUGCAUCCGGCUCUUGUCGGGCGGCUCUUGAUGCAGGUGAGCACGAAAGACCGACUACACACGUAGACGCUUGUCGGUACGGCCAUUCGGACGCGGGUUCGACUCCCGCCAUCUCCACCA